CAAUAGCGUAUAUUUAAGUUGUUGCAGUUAAAAAGCUCGUAGUUGGAUUUCGGAUGGGAUUUGCCGGUCCGUCGUUACGAUGUGCACUGGCCAGUCCUAUCUUGUUGUCGGGGACUAGCUCCUUGGAUUCACUUCCUGGGACUAGGAGCUGACGCGGUUACUUUGAGUAAAUUAGAGUGUUCAAAGCAAGCCUACGCUCUGAAUACAUUAGCAUGGAAUAACACGAUAGGACUCUGGCUUAUCUUGUUGGUCUGUGAGACCAGAGUAAUGAUUAAGAGGGACAGUCGGGGACAUUCGUAUUUCAUUGUCAGAGGUGAAAUUCUUGGAUUUAUGAAAGACGAACUUCUGCGAAAGCAUUUGUCAAGGAUGUUUUCAUUAA
RNAcentral lists this ribosomal RNA (379 nucleotides) under uncultured eukaryote. RNAcentral describes it as "partial 18S ribosomal RNA". It matches the Rfam family "Eukaryotic small subunit ribosomal RNA", at positions 592 to 976 of the family's 1831-position model. The record is from RNAcentral.